CGCCAACAAUGCAGAGAGAAAGAAAAUAGAGAAAUAAUAGAAAAAGUAAUAAUAAAUACACAAUGAGAAACGAUAACUUGGCUUUAUACACAAGUAGCCUAUUGGUUAGAGUGUAGAGGUGGUAGGUAGCCUAGUGGUUAGAGUGUAGAGGUGGCAGGCAGCCUAGUUGUUAGAGUGUGGAGGCGGCAGGUAGCCUAGUGGUUAGAGUGUGGAGGCGGCAGGUAGCCUAAUGGUUAGAGUGUAGAGGUGGCAGGUAGCCUAAUGGUUAGAGUGUAGAGGCGGCAGGUAGCCUAAUGGUUAGAGUGUAGAGGCGGUAGGUAUUCUAGUGGUUAGAGUGUAGAGGUGGCAGGUAGCCUAAUGGUUAGAGUGUAGAGGCGGCAGGUAGCCUAAUGGUUAGAGUGUAGAGGCGGCAGGUAGCCUAGUGGUUAGAGUGUAGAGGAGGCAGGCAGCCUAGUGGUUAGAGUGUAGAGGAGGCAGGCAGCCUAGUGGUUAGAGUGUAGAGGUGGCAGGUAGCCUAGUGGUUAGAGUGUAGAGGUGGCAGGUAGCCUAGUGGUUAGAGUGUAGAGGAGGCAGGUAGUCUAGUGGUUAGAGUGUAGAGGAGGCAGGUAGCCUAGUGGUUAGAGUGUAGAGGCGGCAGGUAGCCUAGUGGUUAGAGUGUAGAGGAGGUAGGUAGCCUAGUGGUUAGAGUGUAGAGGUUAGAGUGUUGGGCCAGUAACCAGAAAGUCUAGUCUGAAUAUCCG
Molecule: long non-coding RNA, 740 nt
Organism: Oncorhynchus keta (chum salmon)
Lineage: Eukaryota; Metazoa; Chordata; Actinopteri; Salmoniformes; Salmonidae
Exons: 4
Source: RefSeq, a predicted model, not a curated record